UUUUGGAUAUGCGAUUGACUUGUUUUCUUUUUCUGUUCUUUAAUGUGCUGAAUGUUAUCUUAAGGUUAGUUGGAAGGAACAUGAUACUAGAGGAAUGGUUGCAAUCCUUUCAUUUUUAUGAGUAUAUCAAUCAUAAUACUCACAUGUGUUGAUUUAUGUGUAACGCUUCAGGUUCGGAGGCGGCGACGAGUACCGUGGCUCCACGUAGGGAGUGAGCUCGUGUUGGUACCUUUUUGACUGGACCUCGAGUGUUUUCUUUUCAGGUGCGUGACGGCACGCGGGUCCACUGCAGAGUCUAGACAGGAGUUUUGUAUAUAGAAGUCUAGCUUUUUGACUCUUUUGAUUAUGUGUCUAUUUUUGGAGCUUGUAUAUGUUGUAAAUAUAUGUGGGCACGUCUUGUAUGACAGUUAUUUCCGUAUAUAUGCAAGUUAAGUUUUUUUU
Molecule: long non-coding RNA, 441 nt
Organism: Rhododendron vialii
Lineage: Eukaryota; Viridiplantae; Streptophyta; Magnoliopsida; Ericales; Ericaceae
Exons: 2
Source: RefSeq, a predicted model, not a curated record